RNAcentral lists this ribosomal RNA (481 nucleotides) under uncultured bacterium. RNAcentral describes it as "bacterial SSU rRNA". It matches the Rfam family "Bacterial small subunit ribosomal RNA", at positions 28 to 524 of the family's 1533-position model. The record is from RNAcentral.
GACGAAUGCUGGCUGCGUGCUUAACACAUGCAAGUCGAACGGUGAACAGGGGCUUGCCCCUGGGAUCAGUGGCGAACGGGUGAGUAACACGUGGGCAACCUGCCCCUCACUCUGGGAUAACUCCGGGAAACCGGGGCUAAUACCGGAUACGACCAGGCACGACAUCGGGUCUGGUGGAAAGAACUUCGGUGAGGGAUGGGCCCGCGGCCUAUCAGCUUGUUGGUGAGGUAAUGGCUCACCAAGGCGACGACGGGUAGCCGGCCUGAGAGGGCGACCGGCCACACUGGGACUGAGACACGGCCCAGACUCCUACGGGAGGCAGCAGUGGGGAAUAUUGCGCAAUGGGCGAAAGCCUGACGCAGCGACGCAGCGUGAGGGACGAAAGGCCUUCGGGUUGUAAACCUCUUUCAGCGGGACGAAGCGAAAGUGACGGUACCGCAGAAGAAGCACCGGCUAACUACGUGCCAGCAGCCGCGGUAAU